AGUGAACGCUGGCGGUAGGCCUAACACAUGCAAGUCGAACGGCAGCACAGUAGCGCUUGCUCUCUGGGUGGCGAGUGGCGGACGGGUGAGGAAUACAUCGGAAUCUGCCCAGUCGUGGGGGAUAACGUAGGGAAACUUACGCUAAUACCGCAUACGACCUUCGGGUGAAAGAGGGGGAUCUCAAGACCUCUCGCGAUUGGAUGAGCCGAUGUCGGAUUAGCUAGUUGGCGGGGUAAUGGCCCACCAAGGCGACGAUCCGUAGCUGGUCUGAGAGGAUGAUCAGCCACACUGGAACUGAGACACGGUCCAGACUCCUACGGGAGGCAGCAGUGGGGAAUAUUGGACAAUGGGCGCAAGCCUGAUCCAGCCAUACCGCGUGGGUGAAGAAGGCCUUCGGGUUGUAAAGCCCUUUUGUUGGGAAAGAAAUCUUUCAGGCUAAUACCCUGGGAGGAUGACGGUACCCAAAGAAUAAGCACCGGCUAACUUCGUG
Molecule: ribosomal RNA, 490 nt
Filed under: uncultured bacterium
Lineage: Bacteria
Description: partial 16S ribosomal RNA
Rfam family: Bacterial small subunit ribosomal RNA
Source: RNAcentral